UUUCCGUAGGUGAACCUGCGGAAGGAUCAUUGCCACACACGAUCCAAGAUCGACACUUAUUGUGAACCGUAAAUGUUAUAUGUUGAUUCUCUUGUGCAGUUUUACCUCUUUUUGAGACUAAAGCUUGUACGAGAAGUCAAUAAUUAUUAUUACACCAAAACAUACAACAUGAAUUAUCAAAGGAACAUAAAAAUGUUAUUAUCAAGUUCGUCUUGAUUUUAACGCUAGAUUGAAAAUUGUAAACAACUUUUAACAACGGAUAUCUAGGUUCUU
Molecule: unclassified non-coding RNA, 273 nt
Filed under: soil metagenome
Description: partial contains small subunit ribosomal RNA, internal transcribed spacer 1, and 5.8S ribosomal RNA
Source: RNAcentral